This 253-nucleotide ribosomal RNA is filed under the name uncultured bacterium. Its description in RNAcentral is "partial 16S ribosomal RNA". It matches the Rfam family "Bacterial small subunit ribosomal RNA", at positions 524 to 776 of the family's 1533-position model. The record is from RNAcentral.
UACAGAGGUCUCUACCGUUGUUCGGAUUCAUUGGGCGUAAAGGGUGCGUAGGCGGUCGGGUAAGUCGGAUGUGAAAUCUCGGGGCUCAACCCCGAAACUGCACUUGAUACUGCCUCGCUUGAGUACUGGAGAGGAGACUGGAAUUUACGGUGUAGCAGUGAAAUGCGUAGAUAUCGUAAGGAAGACCAGUGGCGAAGGCGAGUCUCUGGACAGUUACUGACGCUGAGGCACGAAGGCCAGGGGAGCAAACGGG